Molecule: ribosomal RNA, 529 nt
Filed under: uncultured bacterium
Lineage: Bacteria
Description: bacterial SSU rRNA
Rfam family: Bacterial small subunit ribosomal RNA
Source: RNAcentral
UUGACAUACUAAGAACUUUCCAGAGAUGGAUUGGUGCCUUCGGGAACUUAGAUACAGGUGCUGCAUGGCUGUCGUCAGCUCGUGUCGUGAGAUGUUGGGUUAAGUCCCGCAACGAGCGCAACCCUUUUCCUUAUUUGCCAGCGGGUCAUGCCGGGAACUUUAAGGAUACUGCCAGUGACAAACUGGAGGAAGGCGGGGACGACGUCAAGUCAUCAUGGCCCUUACGGCCAGGGCUACACACGUGCUACAAUGGUCGGUACAGAGGGUUGCUACCUCGCGAGAGGAUGCUAAUCUCAAAAAGCCGAUCGUAGUCCGGAUCGCAGUCUGCAACUCGACUGCGUGAAGUCGGAAUCGCUAGUAAUCGCGGAUCAGAAUGCCGCGGUGAAUACGUUCCCGGGCCUUGUACACACCGCCCGUCACACCAUGGGAGUUUGUUGCACCAGAAGUAGGUAGUCUAACCGCAAGGAGGACGCUUACCACGGUGUGGCCGAUGACUGGGGUGAAGUCGUAACAAGGUAGGCGUAGAUGA